Molecule: long non-coding RNA, 10552 nt
Organism: Oncorhynchus tshawytscha (Chinook salmon)
Lineage: Eukaryota; Metazoa; Chordata; Actinopteri; Salmoniformes; Salmonidae
Source: Ensembl
CCCACUCCCGCUGAUGGCCCUACAGGCGGACCCUGUCUAGAGGGUCACUAUUGUCCCAUAGGAACCACUCAGCCAUUGUCCUGUGAUCCAGGGACGUAUAUGAUUGUAACACAUGCAACUCAAUGUGAGCCCUGUUCCCCUGGCUGGUACUGUGUGACAGGCACCCUGCAACUGUGUCCUGCAGGUUUUUACUGUCCCGAGGGAACGGGAUAUGACUUGAGAGCUUGUCCGGAGGGCACAUACAGCACUGAGCUGGGCUUGACAUCCAUCAGCCAGUGCAGGCAGUGUGACGGUGGCCAUUACUGUCCACUUAGGAAUGGCACCUCAGUCACAGGACAGUGCCUGGAGGGGUAUUACUGCUCCUACGGAAACACCUCUCCACAGCCUUCCUCUCACUCUGCAGGUGGAGGACCAUGCCCUGCAGGUCACUACUGCCCUAGAGGCACCAUCGAUCCUCAACCUUGCCCCAUUGGCACAUUCAGCAACCUGACCAAACUAGUCUCCCAGAACGGCUGCCGGCACUGCUCCCCAGGUUAUUACUGUGACGCGUCUGGGCUAACAGCGCCUACAGGGGAAUGCUGGGAAGGUUUUUAUUGUCGCCGUGGAGCAGUUUUCCCCAACAGCCCUAUCAGAGACAGCCGAGGAGGGCCGUGUCCACGAGGUUAUUUUUGCUCUAAGGGUUCGUCAGCUCCGCGAGAGUGUCCCCAGGGAGCCGUCAGUUUAGAAGAGGGUCGAUCCAGCUGUAGCCCCUGUCCCCAGGGUUAUUACUGUCCUGGCAACAGCUCCCUCCAUGAAACCAAUGAGUGCCCUGUGGGUCAUUACUGCCCAAAUGGCACCUCCUCUCAGUACCAGUACCCAUGCCCUGCUGGGACCAGCAACCCACACACUAGGAUGGGCAGUCCACAGGACUGCCUGCCAUGCCCCCCAGGGUUUUUCUGUGCCUUUCCUGGACUGAGUGCCGUAUCGGGCCAAUGCAUCGCUGGCUAUCUUUGCCACUCUGGAGCAGUAUCCCCGAAACCAGAAGACGGUGUGACCGGUGAGCGGUGUCCCCAAGGUCAUUACUGUCCAGAGGGCUUGGCUGCAGCGCCACGUCCCUGUCCUCUAGGAUAUUAUAGCAACACCACCAGGAACACACAACUCUCUGACUGCCUGCCCUGCCCUGCAGGGUUCAUUUGUGCCAGCAGAGGGCUCUCCAUCCCUUCUCAUCUCUGCCAGGCUGGCUCCUACUGCCCUUACAGACACAACUCCAGCCUCCCUGGCUCUAUCACCUGCUCAGCUGGGCAUAUGUGCCCACUUGGCAGUGCCAUCCAGGUUCCCUGUGUGCCAGGGACUUACCAGGAUCAAUCUGGGCAGGCAGAGUGUUUUACCUGUCCAGCAGGGUUUUACUGUGCAGGCUCAGUACAUCCUAACACAGAACAGGGGGUGGGAACACACAUGCCAACCCCUUGUCUGAAGGGACACUACUGCCCCCCAGGCACACGGUCUGGUGUGGAGUACCCAUGCCCAGCUGGCACGUUUAGUGGGCAGACCAGCACAUCUAAUAAGAGUGGGUGUGUGCCCUGCCCUCCAGGGAAGUACUGCAGCUCUGCAGGGUUGGCAGCGCCUACUGGGCAAUGCUCUCCUGGGUACCUUUGUAUCCGAGGCUCUGUUACUUCUCAGCCAGCUGGAGAUCCUACAGGUGGAAAAUGCAUCGCUGGGUCCUACUGCCCACUGGGUACCAGUCACAUGCUUCUAUGCCCGCCUGGUACUUUCAGCUCUUUAGAAGGGGCAGUAUCUGUGGCUGCGUGCCAGCCCUGUGUGCCUGGGCAGUACUGUGCAGACUUUGGCCUUGCCUCCCCAUCUGGUCCCUGCAGCGCUGGGUUCUACUGCCCAAUAGGAUCCAGAACCCCCAUGCCAAAUCAUAAUGCAACAAGUAAUAAUGAACCAAGAAAUGCAACUUCUGUAUAUCCUCCUCGUGAUGGAGAGGUCUUGGAACAGAUCAAUGGAGACCUGUGUCCAGGAGGCCACUACUGUCCGAUUGGGACAGCUCAGCCAAUACCCUGCCCCCCAGGCACCUUUCUGGGUGGAUAUGGUGGUCAAUCAGAGGCAGACUGUGAGGCUUGUCCGUCUGGAUUCUACUGCCCUGUGUGGGGGCAGACCACCACAGACCUCCACUGUCCCCAGGGUUGGUUCUGUCCAGUAGGCGCUGUAUCAGGGCAUCAACCAGAAUGUCAGUGCCCGUCUGGUCAUUCGUGCCCGUAUGGAAGUGCCAAGCCUGUCAUCUGUGCCCCUGGCACCUAUCAGUCUUUGACUGGUCAGUCUACAUGCAAGACCUGCCCACCAGGUUUUUAUUGUGUGGAGGGAACCUCUGUCCCAACACCAUGCCCAGCUGGCAGUGUGAGUCAGGCUGAGGGGAGAGCAUCUCAGAGGGAGUGUUCUCCAUGCCCUCCUGGGCUCUACUGCAACAGCAGUGCUCUCACCUCUCCCUCAGGACCCUGCUCUCCAGGCCACUUCUGUUCCCGUGGAGCUACUGUUCCUGAUCCAGUCUCCCAGACCUUUGGGGAUGUCUGCCCUCUAGGACACUACUGCCCAGAGGGUAGUGGGUCGCCCACACCCUGUUCUGUGGGUAGCUACCUUCCAGAGAGGGGUGCUCCAUCCCCCUCCCGCUGCUACCCUUGUCCCCCAGGAAGAUACUGCCUCAACCCAGGCUCCUCACAAUUCACAGGUCCUUGCUCCCCUGGUUUCUACUGUAGUGGCGGUGCAGACAGUGCUAUACCCCAGGCUAACUCCUCCCAGCUCAGCUGCCUUUGUGGCAUGAUAAAGGUCCAUCCUACUAACCAAGAUCUUUGUUCCUGGUUACACAACACUUCCUGCUCACCUAACAGUAUAGAUACAGAUGGAGAUGGGAGCUGGAUGGAUGUCGUAGCUAGGCCAUGGUCAGGUCAGGCCUUGGCCGACUCUACACCUCAUCUCAGGAGUCCACUUUAUAAAUGUGCUAACUUCAAAGGCGAUAUAUGUCCCAAAGGUUUCUACUGUCCUGUAGGAUCGGCUUACCCUCAGCCCUGUGACACUGGCUUCUACUGUGGUCAGACUGGCCUGGAAGCCCCCAGUGGCCUCUGUACCCCAGGCUAUUUCUGCUCCAGGGGUUCCACGACCCCUCACGCCUCACUCUGCCCCCCUGGACACUACUGCCCCCAGGGCACACCUCUCCCUCUACCUUGCCCUCCUGGAACCCUGAAGGGUCGAUCAGGCGGGUCCACAGUGGACGAUUGCCAGCCUUGCCCCCCUGGUCAUUACUGCGAUCAGAUAGGCUUGGCCGGGCCCAGCGGUCAGUGUGCUGCUGGCUACUACUGUCCUGGGGGACAGAGCACUGAUAGACCGUCACAACAUGUGUGUGGAGUUGGUCAUUUCUGCAAGGAGGGUAGCGUGAGAGAGAGAGCCUGUGCCCCAGGCAGCUACCAGCCUAGUGAGGGUCAGCACCGAUGUGAGGUGUGUCCUUCUGGCUUCUACUGUCUUGAAGAAGGAAGGACACACUUGGUUCCAUGCGGAAGAGGAUUCUAUUGUCCACGUGGAACAGCCAAUCAGCAUCCUUGUCCAUCCGGGACCUAUGGAAACUUAUCAGGAUUGGCUGACGAAUCGGAAUGCUCUUUGUGUGAACCGGGGAUGUACUGUAAAGGAACAGGGAGAAAUUACCCCAGUGGUCCAUGCAGUGCAGGGUUUGUGUGUUUUGGGGCCGCCUCUCAACCCUCCCCCUCAGACAACAUCACAGGCGCUCCAUGUCCUCCUGGAUUCCACUGUCCUGUUGGAAGCUCCGUACCAAUGCCCUGCCCUAAAGGCACAUUCAGUGAGCAAAGUGGACUAACGGAGCCCUCCCAGUGUCGUAGAUGUGUUCCAGGGUUCUACUGUGCAGAGCCAGGCCUUAAAGCAGUCACUGGAGCCUGUCUGCCAGGUUUCUACUGUUUGGAAGGGUCCCAGAGUGCUGCCCCGAUGUCAGGUGUAUUUGGAGGUGUUUGCAACCCAGGCCACUACUGUGAGAGUGGGACCAGUGUGCCUGCAUCCUGCCCUGCUGGCACCCAUCACAAUAACACCGGAGGGAAGAAGAGUGAUGACUGCAAGCCAUGUCCUGAUGGUUGGUUCCAGGACUUGGAGGGCCAGAGGGAGUGUAAGCCCUGUCCCCCUGGCUCUCACUGCCUGACCACCAACACAACUGGCAGCACCAGUGGCCCCAUCACCCCUCUGCCCUGCCCAGCUGGCUAUGUCUGCCCCAGAGAGAGCUCCUUCAGCCAACCCUACCCCUGCCCCAAAGGCACCUACAGCCCUACUCUGGGUCUCACAUCCCUUGGGGAGUGCUUGGUUUGUCCGGCGGGCCAGUUCUGUGGAUCAGAGGGUCUGGUUGAGCCCACUGGACCCUGUGCUCCUGGAUUCCUCUGUGUUACCAGGGCCACAGUGCCCAACCCCACCGACAACAGGACAGGGUCAACCUGCCCCCCCGGAUCAUACUGCCAACUAGGAUUCAGAGCAGGUGCUUGUGCCCCUGGGUUCUUCUGUGACUGGGGCUCCAGUAGUCCUGAGGAGGCCCUCUGUCCAGCAGGCUACUUCUGUCCAGGAGGAACUAGGACCCCCCUGGCCUGUCCUGCAGGGACACACAGCUCAGUGACAGGCAACAGCCACCAGAACAACUGUACAACAUGUCCUGAUGGCUACUACUGUCAGGGAGAAGGGGUGGUCUAUCCAGUGGUCUGUCCUCUUGGUCACUACUGCCCUCCUGGGUUGGCCGUGGGUGUGAAGUUCCCCUGUCCCCCUGGCACAGUGCAGAGCAAGCCUGGAGCCUCCAGCCUGGACCACUGUCUACCAUGCCCUGCAGGGAUGUUCUGUGCCCUACCUGGGCUUUCCCAGACAACGGGGCCUUGCCAGGCAGGAUACCACUGUCCCCCAGGUGCCAUCACACCCAAUGCUACUGAAUACGAGCAGAAUUCUACCAGUAAUAAUCUGUGCCCCCGUGGCCACUACUGUCCAGCUGGCACUGGCUACCCUCUUCCGUGCCCACCGGGCUCUCUCUCCAGCUCCCUGGGACUGAGGGGCGUAGAGGAGUGCCAGCCUUGCCCCCCUGGGCACUUCUGUGACAAGCCUGCGCUGACCGCGGAUGGCGCCCCGUGUAGCGCUGGGUAUGUGUGUCUAGGGGGUAGCUCCAGUGCCCACCCCUCUGAUGGUCACCAUGGUUACCUGUGCCCCACAGGGCAUCGCUGUCCUGUUGGCACAGCUUCAGCGGUACCCUGUGAGCCUGGCACCUACAGUCCUGCCCCUGGUGCCGCCCACUGCCUCACCUGCCCUAAUGGCACCAUGUGUCCCUCCUCUGCCACCCAAGAGCCCUCUCUCUGCCCUGCUGGUCACUUCUGUCCUGCCCGGUGUGUGUUACCGCUGCCUUGUCCUGUUGGGACCCUCAGUGAACAGACAGGAGCCCCCUCGCCCUCUGCAUGCAGGCCCUGCCCCUCUGGGCUCUACUGUAGCUUGCCCGGCUCCUCACUACCACAAGGCCAGUGCCAGCAGGGCUACUUCUGCCAGCGUGGAGCACAUAGUCCAGCUCCCCAGAGCUCAGCCAUCUUUCCCAGGAACGGGCCCUGUCCUGUGGGCCACUAUUGCCUUUCUGGGACCCUCUCCCCACUGCCGUGUCCUGCAGGCAGCAUCCGAAACCACACCGGUGGGUUAUCCUUAGACAGCUGCUCCCCUUGCCCCCAUGGACACUACUGUUCCAUUGAGGGCCUGGCCUCCCCCAGUGGCCUGUGUGCUGCUGGCUUCUACUGCCCGUUUGACUUCUCCUCCACCACGCCCUAUGCUUUCCUCUGCCCUAAGGGUCACUACUGUCCAGAGGGCUCUCCCCUGGCCCUGCCCUGUCCUACAGGAGAGUACCAGCCCAACCCAGGCUCUGACUCCUGCAUCCCAUGCCGCCCAGGCUUCUACUGUGAGGAGGCCAUUGUUGGAGAGCCCUGGCCUUGCCCCCCUCACUCCUUCUGCCCUGCAGCCACCAUGGUUCCCCAGCCGUGCCCCAACGGUACGUUCACCCCUUCUGACCAGGGGGGGUUACAGGAAGAGCGGGAGUGUCUGCCCUGCCUCCCAGGGAGGUUCUGCAGGGCUGGUAAGAUCAAGGGCCAUUGUGCAGCAGGGUAUCUGUGUAUGUCUGGCAGCUCUGAGUUCACGCCACAGGGGCCUCACUCCAACUGGAGCCAGUGUGAAUGGGGGAUGCAGUGUGCCGGCCCCUGUCCAGCAGGAUUCUACUGCCCAGAAGGUUCAGAGAAGCCUGAAGUCUGCCCUGAUAACACUAUCAGAGUUUUACCUGGAGCAGCCAAUAUCCAUGAUUGUCUGUCUUGUCCACCACAGCACUGGUGCAAAAAAGGUGACCCUGUCCUGCACCUGUGUCCUGCUGGUCACUACUGUGAUGGGGUGGUUGGUAGUGACUACGAGGGAGGGACUGAACCCAGGGAAUGUCCGUUAUUUACCUACAGAUCCACACCCGGGGCAGCCAGCAAGGGGGACUGCCACCCCUGUCCCCCUGGAUUCUACUGUAACUCUACAGGUUUUACAGAUUACUCUGGCUACCCCUGUCCCCCGGGCUACUGGUGCAGUGGCACUGGUCUACCUAUACUAUGCCCUGCGGGUACCAUGAGGCCCCUUCCAGGGGCGGCAGCUGCCAGUCAGUGUGAGCCGUGUGCGGGGGGCACCUACUGCCCAGACCCCAUGUCCACAGGGCAGCCCAACAUUGCUGGAAUCUCCUGUAGAGCCUCGUUCCAGUGUCCCCCUGGUGCGGUCUCAGAGAGGCUGUGCAAGGCUGGCUCUUACUGUGGGCCCCAGACUGCAGAGCCUGAAAUCUGUCCUGAAGGCUACCUCUGUCCAGAGGGAUCUCACACCUACAACACACCAAACCAAGUUUGCGCGUUUCCCUACUACUGUCCUGCCAACAGCUCUGCCAUGCUGUCCUGUGAGGGGGGCUCCGUGCCCCUCAACACCAGUGGCCCCAGAGCCUCCCAGGACAGCAGCUGUGGGCUGUGUGAGGCAGGGACCUACCGACCUCGGCUGUCCCCCCAACCUCAGUGCCUCACCUGCCCACCAGGGUACCACUGCCCUCCAGGGACAGAGCACUACCACAGCAACCCCUGUCCCCUGGGCUAUGUGUGUCCGCUGGGCUCAUCCAGUCCUGUCCCUUGCCCCCCUGGUUCUUUUGGUAAUCUCUCCAACGCUGAACAUGUGGAGGACUGCUACCCAUGUCCAACUGAUACCUUCAACCAUCUGGCUGCCCAGAGAGCCUGUUUCCCCUGCGGAAGUUCCUCUACUGCACCCCAAGGGGCCUCUUCCUGCACCUGCCUUGGGAAGAACCGUGCUUUCCAGCACUCAGACGGCUCCUGUCUGUGUCGAACCGGCUUUAUUUUCUACAACAAUCUGGAUUUCAAGAUCUCCAGCUCUGACAGUGAACUGGACUGCCAGCCUGAGGUGAACAAGCGCUGCAGUGCAGGACAGGUGCGCCUGGCUGCAUCCAGAGAGUGUGUCUCACCCUCUCACCACUCCUGUAACAUCACCUGUGGACCUCAGGGAGGGAGUCUGGAUGUGGAGAUGGGCAUCUGCCACUGUGAGCGCUACGUAUCAGCAGAGGAGCUGUGCAACACAUCGUGUCUGUCCAGACUGCCCCACGUCUCUGCCAGGCUCUCCCCAGAUGGACAGCUGCUGCUGGGGAUCAAAGAGCCAGAUGAAAGCCGAGUGUGGAGCAGAAAAAUGAUGGAUGUUUUGGGACCAGACGUCCAUGUGAAGAACAUUGGAAACAUCCACUUUGUUCAAUUUGAUUCUGAAGGUGUAUUUGGUUGGAUUCUGAUGGACCGAAAUGUUAUUGAAAUGACCCUGACAGCAGAGCCAAUCGAAUUUAUUGACAUGCGAUCAAGGAAGAGGAGGGAUCUAGAAUCCAAGGCAGAACUUCUACACUCCUAUGUCCUCCCUCGUAUCCCCAACCCCAUAGCAUGCCUCUCCUCCAAUGACAUGCUCAUCUUCCAGCUCACCAUCAACUACAAUGACCGUCACAUCAGCCACUUCCCAGUGUAUCAGAAAGACCAUCUCUUCAAUAGCAACCCUAGCUGGGACUUUGGGGCCUUCCGGCGGCUAGAGCGACUCAUGAAGCAGACUCAGUUCAACUCUACCAGAUUUGCACACGUGUUCUCGGAGACGGGGAAGUAUGUGUUCCUGGACAACGCCAUUCCAGAGUGGAGUCUAGUGGUGGUGGUCAGUGAGAGAGGGACAGAGUGUGACCCCACUGCAGCUGUUUUCCAGCCCAUGACCCCCGCCCAACUGGUCAAGCACGGGGUCAUCAAACAACACCGGCUCAACCUGCUGCCUGACUGGGGCGCCAUCGUAGGUGUCCUGAGUCUCCUGCUUGUGCUGAUCCUGGUGCUCACCACCACAGCUCUGGUUCUGAAGUCCAGUCGGGCCAAGCUGGUGUGCCAGGGCAAACUGAGGCCUAAGUGGCGGAGCCUGGGAGAGCCCAUCCCCCCAGUGGAAUACGUCUACAGUGGAGAAAGCCUGAAUGGCCAGGGGGUGCUGGGCUGCAGGGGAGUCGGAGAGGGGGCUGAAGCUGAGGAGCCUGCAGUCUGCCGUGGAGGAGGAUACAUGACUGGGAAGUUUGAUCUGGAGCAAUUCAACGUGAAAACUCUCUACGACAAGCUGGAGGAUCAGAACCUGCAUUUGGCGUCCCAGCUGGCCAGGCACCGCAAGGACACCCAGGAGUUCUACCGGAAUAUCUGUCAACAAACAGAUACCCUGAGGGAUGUUCUGGAGAACAUGGAACCCAAAAAGUUGAGUCUGUUGAAAGAGCUAUUGGAACGCGAUGCCUUGCAGAAUGAAUCAUACACCAACACGGAUGCAGACGGGGAUGGACAUAUCCAAUCAGCAAAAGAUCCGUCAGUGGUGCUGAUGGGAGCUGUGGUCAGAGCUUUGGAGGCAGUCCUGUACAGACUUAGUGGAGAGAGCUGGCAGCAGCAUGACAUGACCGCAGCACACUGCCACACAGACAGCAGGGAGUGUGAACUGCACACAGGCUACAUACAGUUUUCCUCAGCCAACAUGACCAAACCUGCAUCAGGCCAUGAGACAGGACCACCACCUCAUGAUCUAGUACACCUACAGAGCACAGCCCCCUGUCUGAGUGAGCAGGACCUGUCCAAACUAGUGGCCAUGACCCCUCUGUCCAGGACCCUGCAGGAGAUACAGGAGUCCCUCCAGAACCUAUCUGGUGUAGACAGAGUUUGUAUUCCAGCCAGGACUGACAAAACCACAGAGGACCCAACAGUGCACCUGAUUCCCGUUGCCCUGGACAACCUCUCCCCACAGCACUUUGCCAUCUUCCUGUUCGGCUGUCAUGUUGUGAAACUGCUUUGCAACACUCAAAUCUUCCCCCCUGUCAUGCUGCUUCUGUCCAAAACGGUUCCUGUCUCAGCUUACGAGGGCCUGGUGUCACACUGCAGUGGGGACUUUUAUUUUGACACAACCAACCAGAUUCUGUAUCUCUGUGAGGCAAAGCUUGAGAGUGUGGGACAGUUUAUUGCCACUCUCCUACAGUCUAUGGCCUAUAUUGCUUCAGGUUCCAAGCCUGAAAGCUUCAUGCAAGUCCUCCAUCAUGCCAUCUCUGCUUUGAGCCUUCAGUUGUUCAACGCCUCUUUCAGAUAUGAUGCAAACAAGGCAAAGAGGGACACCUCACUGACCUCAGACCAGUCUCCUGGGAAGUUAGUAGAGGACUUUCUCAAUGUCCGUGUCCCCACUGAUAGCCAGUUCACAGAGCACCUCUUGUCAGACAGACUCCAACGAUAUAAGUAUUUCAAUGUGGAGCAAAUCAUGCGGGAUCUUAAACAGUUUCCAGCAGAGGACACUGAAAAGGGACCUUCACAACAGUGUUUAAGAACACCCGUCCAAGCUCACUGUUUGGAGAAGGAGAUGGACCAUCUGAAUGAGGUUUUCCUGCAGCUCAGCGUUCAACUCCAGAAGAGAACCCAGGGCGCAACAACCGAGAAGGCCCUGAGUCGUAAUGGAACAAUGAUGUUAGAGCUGAAGAGACGGUAUGUAUCCCAGAGGCUCGACGAGCUGCAAAUCAUAUUAAAUGGGAUGAGCCGGCGCCAGCUAGACGGCCACAGCCCAGAGGAAGAGGAGCAGACCCGAGAUCACCCACACCCAGAGCCAGACAACUAUAGAUCAGACGGUCAGGAGGAACACGAUCAUUCUCCAGACCAGGAGGACCUAGACAGCAGGGUACCAAAGAACCAUAAACUAGAAAAUAACCAGAGCCCGUACAAUCAGGAAGUAGAAAGCCAGGGACCAAGCAGUCAGAUGACAAGCAUGGGUAAAACAAGCUUCGGAGAACUAGAUGUAUGGGAAUAAGCCAGUUAGAAGCAUUGUGAAAAUGGGAUACUACUGAAGUGUGUGGUUUUGGUGUGAUUUGUCUCAUGAUUUUGUAGAUUACGUGUACAGUCUAGUGUAUGGUGUGAAUAAUAGAUGUAUAAUAGGUUCAUCACAUGUGAUUUAAUCAAACUGAUCAUUUUCGUUGGAG